RNAcentral lists this ribosomal RNA (505 nucleotides) under uncultured bacterium. RNAcentral describes it as "partial 16S ribosomal RNA". It matches the Rfam family "Bacterial small subunit ribosomal RNA", at positions 28 to 507 of the family's 1533-position model. The record is from RNAcentral.
GACGAACGCUGGCGGCGUGCCUAAUACAUGCAAGUAGAACGCACAGUUUAUACCGUAGCUUGCUACACCAUAGACUGUGAGUUGCGAACGGGUGAGUAACGCGUAGGUAACCUGCCUGGUAGCGGGGGAUAACUAUUGGAAACGAUAGCUAAUACCGCAUAAUAUUAAUUAUUGCAUGAUAAUUAAUUGAAAGGUGCAAUUGCACCACUACCAGAUGGACCUGCGUUGUAUUAGCUAGUAGGUGAGGUAACGGCUCACCUAGGCGACGAUACAUAGCCGACCUGAGAGGGUGAUCGGCCACACUGGGACUGAGACACGGCCCAGACUCCUACGGGAGGCAGCAGUAGGGAAUCUUCGGAAAUGGACGAAAGUCUGAACGAGCAACGCCGCGUGAGUGAAGAAGGUUUUCGGAUCGUAAAGCUCUGUUGUAAGAGAAGAACGGGUGUGAGAGUGGAAAGUUCACACUGUGACGGUAUCUUACCAGAAAGGGACGGCUAACUACGUG